Molecule: ribosomal RNA, 81 nt
Filed under: Bacillus siamensis
Lineage: Bacteria; Bacillati; Bacillota; Bacilli; Caryophanales; Bacillaceae
Also listed under: 2 other names
Description: partial 16S ribosomal RNA
Rfam family: Bacterial small subunit ribosomal RNA
Source: RNAcentral
CCGCCGAAGGUGGGACAGAUGAUUGGGGUGAAGUCGUAACAAGGUAGCCGUAUCGGAAGGUGCGGCUGGAUCACCUCCUUU